UGGGGAAUAUUGCACAAUGGGGGGAACCCUGAUGCAGCGACGCCGCGUGGGUGAAGAAGUAUUUCGGUAUGUAAAGCCCUAUCAGCAGAGAAGAAGACGACGGUAUCUGACUAAGAAGCCCCGGCUAACUACGUGCCAGCAGCCGCGGUAAUACGUAGGGGGCAAGCGUUAUCCGGAUUUACUGGGUGUAAAGGGAGCGUAGACGGCAUUGCAAGUCUGGAGUGAAAGCCCGGGGCCCAACCCCGGGACUGCUCUGGAAACUGUAGGGCUGGAGUGCGGGAGGGGCAGGCGGAAUUCCUGGUGUAGCGGUGAAAUGCGUAGAUAUCAGGAGGAACACCGGCGGCGAAGGCGGCCUGCUGGACCGUGACUGACGUUGAGGCUCGAAAGCGUGGGGAGCAAACAGG
Molecule: ribosomal RNA, 404 nt
Filed under: uncultured Acetatifactor sp.
Lineage: Bacteria; Bacillati; Bacillota; Clostridia; Lachnospirales; Lachnospiraceae
Description: bacterial SSU rRNA
Rfam family: Bacterial small subunit ribosomal RNA
Source: RNAcentral